RNAcentral lists this long non-coding RNA (255 nucleotides) under Mytilus galloprovincialis (Mediterranean mussel). The record is from RNAcentral. Lineage: Eukaryota; Metazoa; Mollusca; Bivalvia; Mytilida; Mytilidae.
AAUUUUGACACAAGGUUUAUGACCACAAAAGGACGGUUGGGAUUGAUUUUGGGAGUUUUGGUUCCAACAGUUUAGGAAUUAAGGGCCAAAAAAGGGCCCAAAUAAGCAUUAUUCUUGGUUUUCGCUCAAUAACUUUAGUAUAAGUAAAUAGAAAUCAAUGAAAUUUAAACACAAGGUUUAUGACCACAAAAGGAAGGUUGGGAUUGAUUUUUGGAGUUGAGGUCACAACAGUUUAUGAAUUAGGGGCCAAAAAGG